AUUCGUUCAAAAUGAACGAAUCGUCCGUGAACGACACAUCACUAGCGUCGUGUCGUUCAAGUUACGUGUGUUCGCUUGCAGUGUGUGUUUUCAUAUAUCGCGUAUUUACCUGUUUAUUUUCAUAACUAUUGGACUAUUAUAAUUGUGUGCUUUUGAUUAACCUUUAUUUUAGGAGGUUUUGGAACAUUAUACCGCCCCAGAUUUUCGACUACUAAAGCCUCAAAAAUCUCGUAAGGUCAUGGCAGUUUUCCAGCACAGGUGUGUGUCCCUCUGCAGCUGGGGACAGACCUGCUCCUCACCAGAGGCAGUAAAUGUCCAGUCCAGGCCUGUGGACAAUCACUUUUUUUCAGAUUCUCCCACUCAAGUUAUUGGGGAGAAUUUGGCAUACUGGCACAGACUGGUGCUGUUUCCUUCGGGCCUAGCACUUUUAUCAAGCAUGGUCCCCACACUGAACCCACAUUCGGACCCUGGACAUGGACCCUGGAGCCUCAGCAACCAGCACUCCCCAGCCCAGCAGCACUCCACCCUAUGUGAUGGUCCAUCAGCCAAGCCGGGUUCUGGACAUGGCCAGGAAAAGGCCAGAAUUUAUUGUCCAGUGACAGGCAAUGACAAAAGAGCAGUUGCUCAGAAAAAUAAAGAAAAUAUAGAUAUGUUGCAUAUAGCACUUGUAUUGUUACGAAGUUACAUGUAUAUUUUAUAUUUAAAUAUUUGAUGUUUAAAUAGUAUUUUUCUCUUUUGUUUAUAGUUUAAUAUAUUGCUAUUUUAUAAUUUGUCACUUGUAUUUAUUAUUAGGGUACAUGUAUUAUUUGAAUGGUAUUUGCACAUUAUUCAGCUGCUGCUAUAUGUACUGUAUGUCUCUUUGCACUUUUGUCUUUGCACUGUUUGCACCAAGUUGCACACAAUGUACUUUAUGUAGCUAGGACAGGCUUAUUUUCUGUCCUUAGCUCUGUGUUUUGUAAUUAUAUGUUAUGUUUAUGUAGCACCAGGGUCCUGGAGAAAUGUCUCAUUUCACUGUG
Hemibagrus wyckioides is the source of this 1016-nucleotide long non-coding RNA. RefSeq lists it as uncharacterized. The record is from RefSeq and is a predicted model, not a curated record. Lineage: Eukaryota; Metazoa; Chordata; Actinopteri; Siluriformes; Bagridae. The transcript is spliced from 4 exons.